CCUUCCAUGACCUUUCCCAUUUCCUCCACCUCCUCCUCCACCUCCCCCACCUGAACCACCACCUCCACCUCCACCUCCACCCCCACCACCUCCAUUGCCUACUCCACCACCAACACCUCCUCCAUUUCUGCUAUUAAAUUUCCUUCCGGCUAAUACUUUAUCAUAUGAGUUUAUCUUUCUUCCACCAACAUCUUCCACCAAACUAUGGUUUCCAUGGCCAACUUCAGGAGCUAUAGUGAUGGAGUUGGUGCCAUUCUUCAUCACUUGAGAAUCAUUUCUCCCAUUAACCAAACAAGGACUUAAGAUCACUACUACAACAAUAAGCACUUCAAACACUCUUUUCAUCAUCUCCAUGUGUUGCUAAUGAAUGGAGAUGCAUGAUACUUGCAAUAUCAUACCACCCUUUUAUACCCAUCUCAUUCAAGUGCCACACUUCAACACAAAAUUUGGACCAUAUAAC
RNAcentral lists this long non-coding RNA (460 nucleotides) under Lupinus angustifolius (narrow-leaved blue lupine). RNAcentral's name for it is "long non-coding RNA (LANG_LNC002634)". The record is from RNAcentral. Lineage: Eukaryota; Viridiplantae; Streptophyta; Magnoliopsida; Fabales; Fabaceae.